CUACGUGCCAGCAGCCGCGGUAAUACGUAUGUCACAAGCGUUAUCCGGAUUUAUUGGGCGUAAAGCGCGUCUAGGUGGUUAUGUAAGUCUGAUGUGAAAAUGCAGGGCUCAACUCUGUAUUGCGUUGGAAACUGUAUGACUAGAGUACUGGAGAGGUAAGCGGAACUACAAGUGUAGAGGUGAAAUUCGUAGAUAUUUGUAGGAAUGCCGAUGGGGAAGCCAGCUUACUGGACAGAUACUGACGCUAAAGCGCGAAAGCGUGGGUAGCAAACAGGAUUAGAUACCCUGGUAGUCCACGCCGUAAACGAUGAUUACUAGGUGUUGGGGGUCGAACCUCAGCGCCCAAGCAAACGCGAUAAGUAAUCCGCCUGGGGAGUACGUACGCAAGUAUGAAACUCAAAGGAAUUGACGGGGACCCGCACAAGCGGUGGAGCAUGUGGUUUAAUUCGACGCAACGCGAGGAACCUUACCAGCGUUUGACAUC
RNAcentral lists this ribosomal RNA (484 nucleotides) under uncultured bacterium. Its description in RNAcentral is "bacterial SSU rRNA". It matches the Rfam family "Bacterial small subunit ribosomal RNA", at positions 501 to 988 of the family's 1533-position model. The record is from RNAcentral.